Molecule: unclassified non-coding RNA, 132 nt
Filed under: uncultured fungus
Lineage: Eukaryota; Fungi
Description: sequence contains ITS1
Rfam family: 5.8S ribosomal RNA (bases 1-107)
About the family: 5.8S ribosomal RNA (5.8S rRNA) is a component of the large subunit of the eukaryotic ribosome. It is transcribed by RNA polymerase I as part of the 45S precursor that also contains 18S and 28S rRNA. Functionally, it is thought that 5.8S rRNA may be involved in ribosome translocation.
Source: RNAcentral
GAAAUGCGAUACUUGGUGUGAAUUGCAGAAUCCCGUGAACCAUCGAGUCUUUGAACGCAAGUUGCGCCCGAAGCCAUUAGGCCGAGGGCACGCCUGCCUGGGUGUCACACAUCGUUUCCCCACAGACUAUAC